This is a non-coding RNA of Nocardia terpenica, 420 nucleotides long. It matches the Rfam family "Bacterial RNase P class A". From Rfam's summary of the family: Ribonuclease P (RNase P) is a ubiquitous endoribonuclease, found in archaea, bacteria and eukarya as well as chloroplasts and mitochondria. Its best characterised activity is the generation of mature 5'-ends of tRNAs by cleaving the 5'-leader elements of precursor-tRNAs. Cellular RNase Ps are ribonucleoproteins. NCBI's taxonomy places the organism in Bacteria, Bacillati, Actinomycetota, Actinomycetes, Mycobacteriales, Nocardiaceae. The record is from Rfam.
CGAGUCGGUCAGGCGACCGCGGCGAGAGGAACGGGCACGUAUGUGUCGCUGCCUGGCGCCGAGGAAAGUCCGGACUCCACAGAGCAGGGCGGUUGUUAACGGCAACCCGGGGUGACCCGCGGGACAGUGCCACAGAGAACAGACCGCCGGUGCCGGAUUCGCGUCCGGUGCCGGUAAGGGUGAAACGGUGCGGUAAGAGCGCACCAGCGCCCCGGGUGACCGGGGCGGCUCGGUAAACCCCGCCCGGAGCAAGGUCGAAGGUCGCAUUCCUCGCGAGUGCGGCUGCGCGGGUGUUCGAGGGCUGCUCGCCCGAGCCCGCGGGUGGACCGCUCGAGGUGCCCGGCAACGGUGCACCCAGAUGGAUGGUCGCCGCCCGGUAUGCACCGGGUACAGGAUCCGGCUUACAGACCGACUCGUCCU